Molecule: ribosomal RNA, 464 nt
Filed under: uncultured bacterium
Lineage: Bacteria
Description: partial 16S ribosomal RNA
Rfam family: Bacterial small subunit ribosomal RNA
Source: RNAcentral
GACGAACGCUGGCGGCGUGCUUAACACAUGCAAGUCGAACGGAAAGGCCCUGCUUGCAGGGUACUCGAGUGGCGAACGGGUGAGUAACACGUGGGUGGUUUGCCCUGCACUUCGGGUUAAGCCUGGGAAAGUGGGCCUAAUUCCGGAUAGGAGCUAUUUUUAGUGUGAUGGUUGGAAAGUUUUUUCGGUUUUGGAUGAGCUCGCGGCCUAUCAGCUUGUUGGUGUGGUAAUGGCCUACCAAGGCGGCGACGGGUAGCCGGCCUGAGAGGGUGGACGGCCACAUUGGGACUGAGAUACGGCCCAGACUCCUACGGGAGGCAGCAGUGGGAAAUAUUGCACAAUGGGCGCAAGCCUGAUGCAGCGACGCCGCGUGGGGGAUGACGGCCUUCGGGUUAUAAACUCCUUUCGCUAGAGACGAAGCUUUUGUGACGGUACCUAGAUAAGAAGCACCGGCUAACUACGUG